CAGUAGCCGCGGUAAUACGGAGGGUGCAAGCGUUAAUCGGAAUUACUGGGCGUAAAGCGCACGCAGGCGGUCUGUCAAGUCGGAUGUGAAAUCCCCGGGCUCAACCUGGGAACUGCAUUCGAAACUGGCAGGCUAGAGUCUUGUAGAGGGGGGUAGAAUUCCAGGUGUAGCGGUGAAAUGCGUAGAGAUCUGGAGGAAUACCGGUGGCGAAGGCGGCCCCCUGGACAAAGACUGACGCUCAGGUGCGAAAGCGUGGGGAGCAAACAGGAUUAGAUACCCCUGUAGUCCCUGUCUCUAUACA
This 301-nucleotide ribosomal RNA is filed under the name uncultured bacterium. Its description in RNAcentral is "partial 16S ribosomal RNA". It matches the Rfam family "Bacterial small subunit ribosomal RNA", at positions 509 to 808 of the family's 1533-position model. The record is from RNAcentral.